UUAAAUUGAAGAGUUUGAUCAUGGCUCAGAUUGAACGCUGGCGGCAGGCCUAACACAUGCAAGUCGAACGGUAACAGGAAGAAGCUUGCUUCUUUGCUGACGAGUGGCGGACGGGUGAGUAAUGUCUGGGA
This 131-nucleotide ribosomal RNA is filed under the name Escherichia coli. RNAcentral's name for it is "partial 16S ribosomal RNA". It matches the Rfam family "Bacterial small subunit ribosomal RNA", at positions 1 to 122 of the family's 1533-position model. The record is from RNAcentral. Lineage: Bacteria; Pseudomonadati; Pseudomonadota; Gammaproteobacteria; Enterobacterales; Enterobacteriaceae.